RNAcentral lists this ribosomal RNA (450 nucleotides) under uncultured bacterium. RNAcentral's name for it is "partial 16S ribosomal RNA". It matches the Rfam family "Bacterial small subunit ribosomal RNA", at positions 354 to 796 of the family's 1533-position model. The record is from RNAcentral.
GUUGGGAAUCUUGGACAAUGGGGGAAACCCUGAUCCAGCCAUGCCGCGUGAGUGAUGAAGGCCUUCGGGUUGUAAAGCACUUUUGGCAGGAAAGAAAUAGUGCGUGCUAAUACCAUGCGCGAAUGACGGUACCUGCAGAAUAAGCACCGGCUAACUACGUGCCAGCAGCCGCGGUAAGACGUAGGGUGCAAGCGUUAAUCGGAAUUACUGGGCGUAAAGCGUGCGCAGGCGGUUUUGUAAGACAGGUGUGAAAUCCCCGGGCUCAACCUGGGAACUGCACUUGUGACUGCAAGGCUAGAGUGUGUCAGAGGGAGGUGGAAUUCCGCGUGUAGCAGUGAAAUGCGUAGAGAUGCGGAGGAACACCGAUGGCGAAGGCAGCCUCCUGGGAUAACACUGACGCUCAGGCACGAAAGCGUGGGGAGCAAACAGGAUUAGAAACCCUAGUAGUCC